Molecule: long non-coding RNA, 611 nt
Organism: Trifolium pratense (red clover)
Lineage: Eukaryota; Viridiplantae; Streptophyta; Magnoliopsida; Fabales; Fabaceae
Exons: 3
Source: RefSeq, a predicted model, not a curated record
AGCAAUGCGAAUAACUAUUGUCAUUUUCUUAUUCAAAUUGGAAACAAUCUUGAUAGUCAUAGCGGACCAGAUGAAGAUGUUCUUAAUAGUCUUGCACAAGGUCCUUGGUCAAGCUAGAAGGCACUGCUUGCAAACCUGGAUUCCAUGUAUGCUGAUAUCUAGGAAAUGUUAAACAAUUUGGGUGACCUAUUAUGUACCAUAGCUGGAUUUGACUUCUCUUGACAGAAUUAAAAGGUCUGAGGACAUCCCUGUGGAAAUAUGGAGAGGAUUGAUUCAACCUAGCGAUUUUAAGAAUGGUCUCCCGAAAUCAACUUAUGAGUUAACUAUUAAAGGAGGAGACAAAGUUAAGCAUACAAAUAAAAGGAAUCGAGGUUACAACUAUAAAUUUGUAACUUUAUGGUUUAUAAUUGAUGAUUCUAGCUAUAUGAUAUUAACUCUACUAUUAUGGAAUGAUUUUAGUAUAUAUACGUAUAAUUUACGCUAUUAGGUGUAUGGUACUCUAUUAUUAUAGUAUGAUGAUUUUAGUGUAGAAGUAUAAUUUUGUAACUUUAUGUUAUUAAUGGAUGAUAUUGGAUUUUUGGAUUAAAUAAAUUUUGGUGUAUGGUACUCGA